This 401-nucleotide transfer-messenger RNA is filed under the name Crocinitomicaceae bacterium. It matches the Rfam family "transfer-messenger RNA". From Rfam's summary of the family: Bacterial tmRNA, also known as 10Sa RNA or SsrA, is named for its dual tRNA and mRNA-like properties. Its role is to liberate the mRNA from a stalled ribosome. To accomplish this part of the tmRNA is used as a reading frame that ends in a translation stop signal. The record is from RNAcentral. Lineage: Bacteria; Pseudomonadati; Bacteroidota; Flavobacteriia; Flavobacteriales; Crocinitomicaceae.
GGGGCCGACCUGGAUUUGACUGCAAUAGCAGUAGCUGCAGAAGCAUGUCGAUAAACGCACGAUACAUCGUAAAUAGUACGUGUACAAGAAUAAUUGACAACAAUAAUUCUUACGCGCUUGCUGCGUAAUCAGUCUCAGACUAAUUACCUUUAUUUAGCCGAACAAUAGUAAGCUAAACAAGCUGUUCCCCUCUGCUCCCGCCUGUUGAGCGAGGAACCGGGACAUCAAAAUUUCGGGCUGGUUUUGCUGCGUCGUGACAGUAAAAUGAGAUUAAAACGACUCAGGUUUUGAGUAAGGUGUUUGUGCCUGAUACAAAACCGAAAUCAAAUCACAAAAUAAGCAUGUAGAAACUUCAGAAACUCAUUGUUAGGACGAGGGUUCGAUCCCCUCCGGCUCCACAA